RNAcentral lists this ribosomal RNA (230 nucleotides) under Staphylococcus aureus. RNAcentral describes it as "partial 16S ribosomal RNA". It matches the Rfam family "Bacterial small subunit ribosomal RNA", at positions 1006 to 1236 of the family's 1533-position model. The record is from RNAcentral. Lineage: Bacteria; Bacillati; Bacillota; Bacilli; Caryophanales; Staphylococcaceae.
UAGAGCUUUCCCCUUCGGGGGACAAAGUGACAGGUGGUGCAUGGUUGUCGUCAGCUCGUGUCGUGAGAUGUUGGGUUAAGUCCCGCAACGAGCGCAACCCUUAAGCUUAGUUGCCAUCAUUAAGUUGGGCACUCUAAGUUGACUGCCGGUGACAAACCGGAGGAAGGUGGGGAUGACGUCAAAUCAUCAUGCCCCUUAUGAUUUGGGCUACACACGUGCUACAAUGGACA